Podarcis lilfordi (Lilford's wall lizard) is the source of this 13183-nucleotide non-coding RNA. NCBI's taxonomy places the organism in Eukaryota, Metazoa, Chordata, Lepidosauria, Squamata, Lacertidae. The record is from the annotation of a GenBank genome assembly.
GAUCUCCUGGAUGUUGUUGUCAGCGAUGAGAAGUUUCCGCACGUCCAGCGGGAAUGGGCUGGGGACUCGGGGAAGCCCUUGGUCCCGGCAGUCGAUGGUGUGGUAGUCCAUGCAGCUACAGACGGAGGGGCAGAGGUGCCCCGAGGGUAAGAAGAGCAGGCAGAGAAAGAGCAAAGGAGGUAGGCAGCAGAGCGGGGGACAUGGCCACAUCGUCAGGCACAAGCCAAGUGGGGGGAAGCUCCUGCUGCUAGGAGAACGGCAUUUUUCGUCGCCGCCGCUGUUCAGUAGCAGUACCCGUGUGUUGAAGAGAUGGAGCGUGCGUGCGUGGCUUGGAAGUGUGUUGUUUUAUCCGAGAGAUCACAUAUCGUAGAUCAGAUAGCAGCAGGCUAAAGAGGAGGCAGGGAAGAGAGAGAGAGAGAGAGAGAGAGGGAGACUAGUGGAGAGGGGGGGAGGAGAUGAACGAGAGGAUUUGUGCAGGCAGGGGAAUGAGAGUACCAUCGAACGGAGGGGGGAAUGAAAGGCGGCCGAGCAAACGGAUGAGCCUCUUAAGGGUUCAGCGCUAAAGGAAAUGAGGGUUUUGCUGCCAAAAAAAGGCCUUGUCAGCAGCAACAGGGUUUCCAAUAAGGGAGCGGAUAAUAAAAACGAGGCUGGCUGUGUCUGUCAUUGAAUGUAUUUUUGAACACAUUGGCUGACGCUGCAAAGGCAGAAGGAGGCAGAGGGCAGGGCCGGACGUGGCGUUAUUGCUCCUCAGUGCCUCUUUCUCCAUCUCUGUGUGUUCCACAUUGAAUGUGGGCUCUUGCAGGGGAGUUUUGUUAAGGGCUCGCCUUGGGAAAGGGAAAGUGCCCCUCCCCACAAAAGCUGAUCUCUCCCCCCCCCCAUCAAGAAGGAGAUGAUGUAGGGCUCAACUUGUGCCUCCAUAAACGCCAUGCUAGUUCACAGCAAGGCCGCUUUUAUGGGGCUGUCCUUGGAGACCCUUCAGAAACCAGUGCAGGAAGUUGUGGCGAUGCACCCAGUGAGAGAAGGUCACUGGGAACCACAGUGUCUGCCUAUGAGUUGCUGGCAAUCACAAGUGGGGAGAGCGGCUAUCACUCCCAGGUCCUCUUUGUGGGCUCUGCCUUGAGACAUCAAACUGACCUAAUGGAGGAAGAGGGUGCUAGACUAGAUGGCCCGCUUCGGCCUGAUCCAGCCCCAGCACUCUUCCUGUGCUCAUUCAUUCUUUCCCUCUUGAGGUCAGCCAAGCUCCCACUUCCAUUCAGUUUCAACAGCAGAUGGGGGGGGGGGAUGUUUGUUUCACUGGAAGGCUAUCAAAGUGAAUGGAGCAGUUGAUAAAAUAAUGUGCAGUCAGCUGGUUUCUACCCACACUGACACACCCCUCUUCGCCCACCAUCUAGUGAAGAAAGAGGCAUUAUCAGAGUUCAAGGACACAUUCCACCCAGCCUAAAAUACCCAAGGAGGAUAUGGAGGAAGAGUAGUGAGGGGCAUUGCCUGGGGUGAGUCCCAGGGGCCUGAUCCGGGGUGGUGUGUCCUCCUGCUUCACUGCUUGAAGCAAAGCAGGAAGUGCUGUCUCGCUCUGCCCCACAGACCUCCCUGCCACCGGGCCUCCUGCCACCACCCCACCUCCAUGCCUCAUUUCACAAGAUCUUGCCAGAAAUCAGUGCUAAUGCCGGUGGCAGAGGCGGUGGGCUGGGUGGGGCGCUCAUAGGGGCAUGGCCUCAGGACCUCUUUCUGUUUGAGGAAACUGCUUCACCCUGCCUCAUGGGUGAGCCAGCCCUUGGCCAGAUAGAGAGGCCUAGAAGGCCACAUUUAGCCCUGGGUCUGAGAUUCUCUACUCUUACCUUGAAGACACAUUCAGUUCCAGCGGCAAAUUGAAACAUGCAUGUUUUACUAGGCUUACAUGGGUGAUGGGAGAAUAUCCUUCCUAUUUUAUUCUCAGAUGCGAGAAGUCAUUUUGUACUGGGUUUUUUAUCCACUAGGUUGUGUACUUGGUAUUCUCUGUUGUAGAGUAUAUUGUGCUGAAACUCACCCUGCAAACUUUGGGUGAAGGGCAGGAUAUAAAUACUGUGGACAAACCCAGAGGACAUUUGCAAGGCAUGAGUUGACUCUCAACUCCUCUCUCGCUAUUUACAUACAGUAUUGUUAUCUACGUUUCCAAAUUGCUCCUCAUCUGAAUUUUGCAGUGGAUUUUGGAGUUCUGAAUCACCUGGGGAAGGGUCAUAGGCCAGUGGUAGAGAAUCUGCUUUGCAUGCAAAAGGUUCCCAGUUUCAAUCCCUGGCGUCCCCAGGUAGGGUUGGGAGAGAACCCUACCUGGAACCCUGGCAAGCCACUGAAUAGAAGUGUGGACAAUGCUGAACUGGAUGGAUCCAUGGUCUAACUCAGCAUAAGACAGCUUCCUACAUUUCUGUGUUAACAGUUGCUCUCCCAUUGUUCCCCAUGGGAGACAAAGGUCACUCACUCUGGGCUAGCUCAGGACUUCAUGGCUGCCCUGUUGAUGACCAUGGAGCUCCCCCAACAUAUCAUCGACCUAACCCAUGUGGCAUGCCAUUCUCUGGGUCUGGUUAUCUCCACCAGGCCAGAAGAGGGUGAUCUGAGAGUGGGGGAAUAUUAACAUCAGCUGCUUUUUUUCAUGGUCAGAUCACCUCUUGAUGAGAUUUAGACUUCCAAUGGCUUUUCCCUUCUGCAGAGUUUGGGAAACCUAUUAGGAUGGUCCACCUAUGGAGGCUAAUGCGUCCAGGUGGUUUGGGGGGAUUUUCCAGCUAAUAUGACUCAUGCUCCUGUUGAAGCUCUGUUCUAAUAGUAGAAUACUUGGAUGGACUGGGCUGUUGAUACAAUGGCCCCUGAACGCCCUCUCCCAAUUGAUAGGGACUGGCUGACUCCUUGGUGUGCACCAGAGCUAAGGGGGAUGAAAGAAGCUUGGAGAUGGCUUGAAAGCAAAUAGAUGAACACUCCAGGUUCCCCAUUCCUGAUGCAACAACCUUGCAGAGUGUAAAAGAGAAAAGGAAGCUUGUUUUCCGUCGUAUGUGGACCAAAGGUGCCCAUUCUACUUUCCCACCUCGCAAAGGUGUUGGAUACAAAAAGAUGAGAUGUAAUUAGUUUCCUGUUGGCUGUUGACAUAUGGUAGCAGGUAACUUCAGAUGCUGGCUAAGUGCGGAGCUAAAGUUUCAAAGGGAAUUAAGGUAAUGGAUAGUCAUGGAGGGGGUGCAGCCUGGUUGCUCCACGGAAAAGGAAACCCAAGAUCCACUGAUUGCAACACUUUUGCCAGGACAGUAGGUAGCUCUUCAUCAUUCUCUCCUGAACAAUUUUCUAGGGACCAUGUGCCACUGGUGAGAGAGACCAGAGGGAAAGAUGGGUGGAGCAAGGACUGAAUGUAAAUUUCACCUUUACAGAUGCUCUGCCAUGAAGUUAGCACUGAGAUUCAAGUCCUAGACCAGCAAAUUAGGACGCCCUGCUGUAAAAAGCAGGCACAAUCAAUUUCGCCUCCACCCAUAGUGAAGAAUUACAAAUGUGACAAUGAACUGACUGACUACUCCACCUGUAGUUCCAGCUACUCUUUCAGAAAUAAUCGUUUCAGAGUGCCGUUUCCCCCCAGAGCAAUUACCUUUUUUCAGGUAGUCUGCAAUAUUACUUUGGUCCAUUAUUUCAAUUGUCGUUGAGUUUCAGACUCAAAAUGUUCUGACCAUUAAUAAAUUGCUUCAAGUAUGCUUUUGAGGGCUACACUUGCCUUGGUUACGAAAAACAGCCGAGAUGAACUUCAAAAUGUGGACAGCUGCUCAUGAGAACAGAUUCCUUGAAAGAUGCAUUUUACUCACACGUUUUUGGAAUGCUAAGAUUCAGGGCAGCAGUCAUCAUUAUUUUCCCCACCCACUGCUCUGAAUGUAAAGAUGGGGGACAACUUUGAUUUGGUUCACAUUUCGGUGCAAAAUUACAUAAUUCAUUACUUCCUGAAAUGAUGUACCAACAGAAACAUUGCUAUCCUUUGAAAUUCUCAGCUCUCCAGCCCAGAAAAGUGUAAAGAAAUAAUGUAUAUCGGGGUAAACGUGCAUAGAAAUACAUAAACUAAUGAAAAUGAUGUACAAAAAAAAAAAAAACAUUUUAUUGGGGAAGUUUCUUGCAAAAAUGUGCACAUUGCAGGAAAUGGGCCAUAAAAUGAUGGUGAAUAUUCGAGAGGACUUUUUUUUUUUUUAAGACAAAGGGUUGUGGAAAUGUGGAGAACUGAACUAGUUUGGUUUUUUGAUAUUCUGCUGCACACUUCACUUGAGGUCCUGUUAGUUUGAGAAUCAAGGUCAGGAGGAAGAAAAGGUAGAGUAUAUAAAAGGAUCCCACUGUGCUCAAAGGAAGCUGCUGGGUACCAAAGCUCACUUUCAAACCUCACAUUUUAAAGAAUGGUAUCUGGACAAUUCAAGCUCCCCAGAUGUCAAUAACUUAGAGCACCGGGUUUUAGUUUUAACAGGAAGGAGACGAACAGACACUUGAAUUUACAAGUUCUCUCGGCUCUCCUUCAGAAUUCCUUGUUAAUGGAUGGCAAGACUUGUUAUUCUAUAUGCUUGAUUAUCUUUAAUGAAGCUUUCCACCAAUUACCCAGAGUGGAUGUGAAGCUCACUGGCCUGUAAUAUUCUGGAUUCUCUCGCCCCCCCCCACCUCCAUUCCCAUAUAACUUUAAAAAAUUCAUGUUAUGUUAGCCACGUCAGAAAUGAGUAGCAUGUUUUUGCUCUGAGAGCAUGCAGUCCUAACAAAAUAAGAAGAGCCAAAGGCCAGGGCCAGCCCAAUACAUUUUGUCACCUGAGGCAAACCACAAAAUUGUGUCUCUUUCUCCCCACCAGGAAAGAAGGUGUGAGUGAAGAUCUAUAUCAGGAGAAAGGGGGAAAUAAAACAAGGAGCAAGGGGGAUCACUUGCCAGCUGAGGCUGUCACCUCACCUUGCCUCAUGGGUGGGCCAGCCUUGCCAAAGGCCCAUCUGGUCCAGCAUCCUGUUUUCACAGUGGCCAGUCAAAUGAAGACAUAGGAAGAUUCACAGAGAACCAGGCUAUCAAUAGCUACUAGCCACUGCAGCUUUGUUCUACCUCCACUGCCAGAGUCAUUAUGCCUCUGAAUACCAGUUGCUGGAAACUGAAGAUGGGCAAUGUGCUGUUGUGAUUCAGUCCAACUUGUUGGCUUCCUAGAGGCAUCUGGUUAGCCACAGUGAGAACAGGAUUGUGGACCUGAUGGGCCAUUGGCCUGAUCCAGCAGGCUCACCUUACCUUCUUAGGCUUGUAGCCAACUAAGUCCAACUCAGAGUAGACCCACUGAAUUUAAUGGACCUAUGUUAAGCACGUUCAAUGGGUCUAUUCUGAGUAGGACUAGCAUGCGACACAACCAUAUAUAAAUCAUAGGAGUCCACAUGCAGCCCCUAGGAGGAAAAAGCCCCGAUGGAAAGAGAAGGUCAAAUCAUCUCAGGAAUGCCCCCUUGAAUCCAUGAAUCCAGGAACAUGGAAAUCUUGGAAUGCAAGGUCCAGGAGUGAUCAGAGCUUGGCUGGGGGAUAUGCUGGGCACAUCUAGUGGGGAUUCUGUAUAGGGCUAGGAAGGGAAUCAGCCAGAACAUGCAAUAAAGGUGGAGCGUGCAUUAACAUAACUAGAAUCUAGAAAUUGUAGCCGACUUAGACCUACUCAAAGUAGACUCAUUUAAAUUAAGGGACCUAAGUUAGUUAGGCCCAUAAACAUCAAUGGAUCUACUGCAAAUAAGACUGGCAUGGGAUAAAACCCCAGCUGCUCACCAAGUGAACCAUUGAAUCAUAGGAUUUUAGGGUUGGAAGGGACAAAAUGGAUCAUCUAGUCUAACCUCCUGCAAUGCAGAAAUAAAGAUGCCAGCUGUCUUGAAAAUAUGUAAGUCCUAGCUAGGCCAGAAGCAGAAGAAUGCCUGCCUGCCUGGUGGGGGCAGGAGCUAUUUGCUGGAACCCGGGAUAAUAAUAGACCUGCUUCAACCUUAUUUCUGCAGCCUUGGCCUGUCUUCUUCAACAAAGCUCCAGAGCCCCUGGUCCUAGCCCUCGUGAAGCCAAUUCCUAUCAGAAGUGCUUUUCUUAAAUGUAAACCAUGACAUUCAUUUGUCCAUAGGAUGCUGGCUAAAGAGGAAACUGCUGCAAGGACUGAUAUUGCGGAAGCUCAAAGGGCAUUUUUGAUGCUCUCCGACAAGCUGCUAACUUUGCAAGAAAGACGACUGUCAGUUCAUAUGAAUCUGCACACAGCAUCUCAAAAGGGCACCAGAGGCUUCAAGUCCAGGAAGUGGGUCUAACAGGUAGAUCAGGGCGGGCACAGUAUCCGCUUCUCCGGCAGAUACUGCUCUGACAGAUAUAUUGCCUUUUCCAGAUUGCCAGCCCAUAGUUCUAUGAUGCUCCUAUGAGCAUUCUGGGCUUUUCAGCUUAGGGAAAUGACAGGUAAGAGGUGACAUGAGAGAAGCUUAUAAAAUUAUGCUUGGCAGGGAGAGAGUGGAUAGAGAAAGGUUUUCCUCCCUCACUCAAUUUGUGGGCAUCCAAGGAAGCUGAAUAUUGGAAGUUUCAGAAGGGAGAAAAAGAAUGGACCUCUUCAUGUAGCACGUAGUUAAACUAUGGAACUCACUCCCACAGGAAGCAGUGAUGGCCACCAACUUAGAUGCCUUUAAAAGAGGACUUGACAAAUUCAAGCAGGAGAGGGCUGCCAAUGGCUGCUAGACAUGAUGGCUGGGCUCUGCCUCCACAGUCAGAGGCAGUGAUGCUGCUGAAUGCUAGCUGCUGGAAACUACAGCUCUUGCACUCGGGUCCUGCUUGUCGGUUUCCCACAUACCUCUGGUUUGCUACUGUGAGAACAGGAUGCUAGGCUAGAUGGGCCACUGGCCUCAUCCAGAAGAGGGCUCUUCUGGUGUCCUUAUAACAGCCAGGAUCCCCCUACAUUCCAACCCACCACCAUGACUUAGAUCCAGAUUGCCAUGUUACUCUCUUACCUGGCUGGUGGGUCGCUGAUACUUCCCAGGAAGGAAGGGAAGGUGACAGAGAGGCAAAUGCACCAGGAGGAACAUUGGGCGGGUUCUGCCACCACACUUGCACCACACCGCCCUUGCUGCUAAUGUGCCCUUCCCAAUAAGUGACAGUGACUCAUCUUGCUGGGAAGCUUGCGGAGAGACUCCCUUCCACCCAGUGAGUCGCUUCUGCUUGGCUCUGUGGGUGGAAAUUUGUGGAUGGUGCCCAGGGCCAGAUUUAGGUUUGAUGAGGCCCUAAGCUACUGAAGGUAAUGGGGCCCUUUAUAUGUCCAGCUGUCCUUUGUCAACAAGAAAUUGUCACUUUUUUGUGUUGAAUAUAUGCUGUAUGGUAAUUUAUGGACCUGAUAGGUAUCUACAGGAUGCGGGUGGCGCUGUGGGUUAAACCACAGAGCCUAGGACUUGCCGAUCAGAAGGUCGGUGGUUCAAAUCCCCGCGACGGGGUGAGCUUCCGUUGCUCGGUCCCAGCUCCUGCCAACUUAGCAGUUCAAAAGCACCUCAAAGUGCAAGUGGAUAAAUAGGUACUACUCCGAUGGGAAGGUAAAUGGCGUUUCCGUGUGCUGCUCUGGUUUCGCCAGAAGCGGCUUAGUCAUGUUGGCCACAUGACCCGGAAAAACAGUCUGCGGACAAAUGUCGGCUCCCUCGGCCAGUAAAGCGAGAUGAGCGCUGCAACCCCAGAGUCGUUCAUGACUUGACUUAACUGUCAGGGGUCCUUUACCUUUUAAUAGGUAUCUAAGGCCAUUUGUACAUGACAAAAUAUGUAUUUUAUCAAAGUAAUUGUUGAACUUGUAUUUUGGAAAUGUACAUCCAGGGUUUUGUUUUUCCUUUAAAUUUUUUGGGGGCCCUAAGCUAUAGCUUGUUUAGCUUAUACGUAAAUCCGGCACUGAUGGUGCCACAGGCCCCUGCAUUAAAAGCAUGUUGCGACUUGAGCACAUUCCUUUAGCAGUACUCCAUCAGCUCUCUUGAAUUCUCUUUUGUUAAGAGGUGAAGCGAGCCCCAGCUUCUUUCUGUUUUCCACAUUCAUCGAAGCCUUUCCUUUUCUUCCAAGCCUUCCUAAACUGGGCUGCAAUCCAAACCUCACUUACCUGGGAGUAAGGGUGGGGGAAGAAAUUGUUCACAUUUUAAGGAGAAGCUACCUAGUUUGCACUUCUCAAAGCAAUACAUAGCCAUCCUACAACAUUCACACUCCUCCAAACUUUGCAUUGCAGUUCUCCGACCAAAAUAAUGUGAACAAAAAGUACAUAUAUUAAGAGAAAGUGUGCAUAAUGAUGAAUUAAUCAAUGAAAAACAUUAGCAGAUGCACUAUAUUAAGGGGAAAUAUUUGCAAAAAUGUAUGUAUUAGUCAAUAAUUCAUGCACAAAUGGUUUUAUUGGGAGAAAUUUGCACUAAAUGUUGAUGAGCUUUCAUGAGGAUUAAAAAACAAAUAAACGGAAAAUAGCUGCAGAAAUGUAGAGAACGGAAUUUUAGGCUGGCAAACGGAGGAACUGAGAAAAACAAAAAUUGACAGAUAUGCCCAUCCCUAUCUGAGAUUAAGGCCUAUUGAAUUUAAUGAGACUUACUUCUGAGAGUAUGGGUUGUAUUACAGCAUUAGUCUGUUUUAUUUUUGCAGAUUUCAAUUCUUGAUGGAUUUUUAAUGUUUUAAUACUGUUCUGAGGAUCAGUAUUAGAGCGGUUUAUAAAUCCUUAUGUAAAAAUAAGCAAAUUUGUGACAUAACACUGCAUCAAACCACCCAAAAAGGGUAGCUGGGCACUCUGGAUUGGAUUAAAUUAUCAGCACUGGAAUCUUUGAAUAGUCUGUCUGAACUGGUGUGAUGACCCAUUUACUCUCCCAGCUCUAUUGUAAAACAGAGCUCUGUCGUAAACAGAGAUAGAUGCAAAGGGAGAGAAUGCUUGAAGCUGAGAGUCGUGUUGCCUAAUUAGGUGAAUGGUGCACUAAUUGUUGGGGUUGCGAGUUGCUGAUGGGUGUGGGCGAGCACACACAUUCUGCCCAGGUGAUUACACUUCAGCUAAAACCCAGGGGAAGAUGUGAUGAGGUAACUCCUCCGAAGGAGCUUCUGUCGGCAGAGUAGCAGAAUUGCAGCUAGGAAGCCACAUCAUGUGCAAUACUGCCCCUUUCCUUGAAAUUAAAGCAAUGUCCAAACAUUUGUUAAAAUAUUCCAAAGCUUGCAGAACAUAUAGCUAAAGAAAAAUAUAUGCAGAGUAUUUGCAUUUGCAUGCUUCUCCAAGCAUGGCCUUGGUUUUUCUUAGUUGAAGAUUACAGCUUCUUCCUUAAACAUUCAAACAAGCUGCAUCUUUCUCUCUUUCCAGUACUUGCAUCCAGCCUUCUCCACAUGCAGCCAGGCCAUGAAGUUCCUUCUUGAAGGUUUCCACCUGCUCCUUCCAGCAGACUACUGCUUAUUGCUUCUUUGGGAGAACAUCAACUUCUGUACCUCUUUCUGUUACAUACACUCACACAGAAACAUUAGAACUCCUCUCCUCUAUUGUAUUGAGAGUGAGAGAGUUAUCUAUCAUUGUCUCUUCAGUGUUCAUGGAGAUGCAGCCAUUACAAGUCCCUCACACACAAAACAAAAUGGAGGAUGCAAUAAGAUGCCUCCCAUGUGACCAGAGUUAACCUAUCACACGAGAGUUCCUGGGGAACAUUCCAGAAUCGAACACACCGCAAUGCAUUCGAGCAACCCCAAUUUAAGUAAAUUAAAUUACGGCUUCUUCCUGCCCUUCAAAGUUCAGGAAGUGCAGGCACCUGAAGAGGCUGCACAGAGUCGGAGGAGUAUUUAACAAAAAAAGAGAAAAGGACAGAGUGCCAAGCCUAGCAUCAUUCUAGAGAAAUUCUAAAGCACCCUGAAAAGGAUUUUUUUAAAAAAAAAAUGGACAUUUCUUUUGCAGGAAAAGAAAACCUAUGGGAAAUGGGAGGACAGAUUUCAGCACUGCACAAGUCCUUAUCCAAUCAACACUAGAUGUCAAGUUGAUGUUUCUUUGUGGAAAUGGACCACUUGCUUCCGCCCUCCCCUCUCCCUUCUGCUGUCCCUGAAGGAAUUAUUUGUGGGUUAGUUUGCUUGUUUUUGACAGAGAGGCCCAUACAAAUCGAUUCAUUAAUUCAGUUACAGCUCUCUGGGUUAGCCUGAAAUUGAUACACUGCCCCGGACUUAGCAUGCUGUGCUAAUCGAUCAAGCAAGUUCAACAUGAGGCAACUGUUACUGCUCAGAAUGGGUUUCUCUGGCGUGUCAAUGUGUAGCAUCCUAUCCCCACCCCAAAUACCCCCCAGGACAAGAAUGCAGCCUAUUUAUGACUUGAUGUUUUUUGACAUUUCACUUGCCUUGCUAAUAAGAUGGGUGAGAUGUCAGGACGGAUUAAAUCAGUGUGCACAGCAAAUCCCCAAAGGCCAAUACUGGGAGAAUUGAAUGUGGUUUAUCUCUCUCUCUCUCUCUCUCUCUCUCUCUGUGUGUGUGUGUGUGUGUGUGUUUUAAAAUAAAACAGAAUUCGCUACCCAAAUCUAACAGCUUGCAAUCACAGCGUUUUGAAAGGCUUGGAGAAAUCAUGCCAUUUGGAAAGAGGCUCUGCUUUUGUACAAAACAAAAACCCCGUGUCUCGGUAGAAAUGCAGUUGGAUCUUUGCUUCAGAGAAAGAAAAGUCAUUCAGGUGCCAGAGGAAAGAGAGGGAGUGGCUAGUCCUCAGCCUCCUCGAGCUCCUAACGUGAUCCAAAGGCUGUAGCUCAGUGGCAGAGGACCUGCUCUUUAUGCCAAAGGUCCACAGGUUCGAUCCCCACCAUCUCCAGAUAGGGAGGGGAAAGUCUCCUAUGUGGAAACCCCUGAGAGCUACUGCCAACCUGUGCAGAUGACAGGUGGGGAAUCUCAGGCCUGGGUCUGAAUGUGGCCCUCAUGUUUCUAUGCCUGGCCCUUGGGCCACAUACACACUGACUUUGCUUCGCACCACCUUGAGGUGUGUUGGCUGCAAUGUGUCCUUCAACAUUAGGCCAAUAUUCUGUCAUCAUUGUCCAACUCUGCCUACAUGUAUAUGAGCUCCUUCUUCCAGUCUUAAGUAACUUUUACACUGUUGCCAAGACUGCAUUUUCUUGCAUUUUCACUUCCUAUUCUGUGAAGAAGAAGAAGAAGAGUUUGGAUUUGAUAUCCCGCUUUAUCACUACCCGAAGGAGUCUCAAAGCGGCUAAUAUUCUCCUUUCCCUUCCUCCCCCACAACAAACACUCUGUGAGGUGAGUGGGGCUGAGAGACUUCAGAGAAGUGUGACUGGCCCAAGGUCACCCAGCAGCUGCAUGUGGAGGAGCGGAGACACGAACCCGGUUCCCCAGAUUAUGAGACUACCGCUCUUAACCACUACACCACACUGGCUCUCAGUGAGUGCUCACUGAAAGGACAGAUUCUGAGGCUGAGGCUCCAAUACUUUGGCCACCUCAUGAGAAGAGAAGACUCCCUGGAAAAGACCCUGAUGUUGGGAAAGAUUGAGGGCACAAGGAGAAGGGGACGACAGAGGAUGAGAUGGUUGGACAGUAUUCUCAAAGCUACCAACAUGAGUUUGACCAAACUGCGGGAAGCAGUGGAAGACAGGAGUGCCUGGCGUGCUCUGGUCUAUGGGGUCACGAAGAGUCAGAUACAACUAAGUGACUAAACAACAACAACAACAUUCUGUAAUGAGUGAGAUAUUAUUAUUAUUAUUAUUAUUAUUAUUAUUAUUAUUAUUAUUAUUAUUAUUAUUUUGCCUUUUCCCAGUAUCUAGUCUCAUUUUGCUGAUGGAAAUUGUAAUCCAACAACAUUUUGAUGCCACCCGGCUGUGGAAGUGUGGCCUUGUGUUACAUAAACUUGCUGUAACAGCAGUUUGUUAACUCUACAGCAGUUUGUUAACUUUUGCAGGUCCUUUAUGUUUAGGAAUUGGUUAAUAAUGGAAAUAGGUCACAAGCUAGAUCUAAGUGUACUUCUUAUUAUUACAUUUAAUAAUCACCUUCUAAACCACCAUCUCAAGGCAAUUUACACAUAAGAUCAUUAAAACAGUUAAAACCACAAAAACAACAAACACCUGUGAAACAAGGCUAAAAGCCUAAAAACAUUCCUUCUUUGCAACCAAAACCAUUUUGCUUUGUUAUGGAGCCACCAUAAAUGGACAAAGCUUCCAGUCACUGUUCCACAUUUUCCAGCACCGACUUGGUCAAAAUCCCAGGAGCAGAGGAGGGAUAAAAAGGCAUUGACUCAGAUGAGAAGAUGGUGAAAUGCAAACAGGGGACACAGAAAGGGCUGAACUCCUCAAUGCCUUCUUUGCCUCAGUCUUCUCCGAUAAAGAAAACAAUGCCCGACCUGAAGAAUUUGGAGCAAAUGAUUCAGCAGAGGAAACACAGCCCAGAAUAACUAAGGAGAUAGUACAAGAAUACUUGGCUAGUUUAGAUGUAUUCAAGUCUCCAGGGCCAGAUGAACUGCAUCCAAGAGUAUUAAAAGAACUGGCAAUUGUGAUCUCAGAACCACUGGCAGUCAUCUUUGAGAAUUCCUGGAGAACAGGCGAAGUCCCGGCAGACUGGAGGAGGGCAAAUGUUGUCCCUAUUUUCAAAAGGGGGGAAAGAGAGGACCCAAAUAAUUACCGCCCAGUCAGUCUGACAUCAAUACCAGGGAAGAUUCUGGAGCAGAUCAUUAAGCAAACAGUCUGUGAGCACCUAGAAAGGAAUGCUGUGAUCACCAAUAGUCAGCAUGGAUUUCUGAAAAAUAAGUCAUGUCUGACUAACCUGAUCUCAUUUUUUGACAGAAUUACAAGCCUGGUAGAUGAAGGGAAUGCAGUGGAUGUAGCCUACCUUGAUUUCAGCAAGGCAUUUGACAAGGUGCCCCAUGAUAUUCUUGUAAAGAAGCUGGUAAAAUGCAGUCUUGACUAUGCUACCACUCAGUGGAUUUGUAACUGGCUGACUGACCGAACCCAAAGGGUGCUCAUCAAUGGUUCCUCUUCAUCCUGGAGAAGAGUGACUAGUGGGGUGCCACAGGGUUCUGUCUUGGGCCCGGUCUUAUUCAACAUCUUUAUCAACGACUUGGAUGAUGGACUCAAGGGCAUCCUGAUCAAAUUUGCAGAUGACACCAAACUGGGAGGGGUGGCUAACACCCCAGAGGACAGGAUCACACUUCAAAACGACCUUGACAGAUUAGAGAACUGGGCAAAAACAAACAAGAUGAAUUUUAACAGGGAGAAAUGUAAAGUAUUGCACUUGGGCAAAAAAAAAUGA